Molecule: antisense RNA, 69 nt
Filed under: Amycolatopsis tolypomycina
Lineage: Bacteria; Bacillati; Actinomycetota; Actinomycetes; Pseudonocardiales; Pseudonocardiaceae
Description: ASpks TB sRNA
Rfam family: ASpks TB sRNA
Source: RNAcentral
CUUCACCGAACCCAGCCACAGCGGUUCGGCGCGCUCCUGGCCGUAGGUGGCGAGGAUCGCCUGCGCCUC